GACGAACGCUGGCGGCGUGCCUAAUACAUGCAAGUCGAGCGGACUUUAAAAGCUUGCUUUUUAAGUUAGCGGCGGACGGGUGAGUAACACGUGGGCAACCUGCCUGUAAGACUGGGAUAACUUCGGGAAACCGGAGCUAAUACCGGAUAAUCCUUUUCUACUCAUGUAGAAAAGCUGAAAGACGGUUUACGCUGUCACUUACAGAUGGGCCCGCGGCGCAUUAGCUAGUUGGUGAGGUAACGGCUCACCAAGGCGACGAUGCGUAGCCGACCUGAGAGGGUGAUCGGCCACACUGGGACUGAGACACGGCCCAGACUCCUACGGGAGGCAGCAGUAGGGAAUCUUCCGCAAUGGACGAAAGUCUGACGGAGCAACGCCGCGUGAGUGAUGAAGGUUUUCGGAUCGUAAAACUCUGUUGUUAGGGAAGAACAAGUACGAGAGUAACUGCUCGUACCUUGACGGUACCUAACCAGAAAGCCACGGCUAACUACGUG
Molecule: ribosomal RNA, 494 nt
Filed under: uncultured bacterium
Lineage: Bacteria
Description: partial 16S ribosomal RNA
Rfam family: Bacterial small subunit ribosomal RNA
Source: RNAcentral